This 253-nucleotide ribosomal RNA is filed under the name uncultured bacterium. RNAcentral's name for it is "partial 16S ribosomal RNA". It matches the Rfam family "Bacterial small subunit ribosomal RNA", at positions 524 to 776 of the family's 1533-position model. The record is from RNAcentral.
UACGUAGGUGGCAAGCGUUGUCCGGAUUUCCUGGGCGUAAAGAGCGCGCAGGCGGUCGUUCAAGUCGCGUGUGAAAGCCCCCGGCUCAACUGGGGAGGGUCACGCGAUACUGAUCGACUCGAAGGCAGGAGAGGGUAGUGGAAUUCCCGGUGUAGUGGUGAAAUGCGUAGAUAUUCGGAAGAACACCAGUGGCGAAGGCGACUCACUGGACAUGUAUUGACGCUGAGGUACGAAAGCGUGGGGAGCAAACAGG